AAAUGAUCACUUGUGCAGGGGCCGAGCAAUUGUCAUUUGCUGACAUGCUGCCCUGUGCUGAGUCGCUGAGUCGCUUACCCUCUUCCUAUCUGCCCUGGCUGGCUGCUAACCAUGCACAGGGCGCACCCGCUGGUGCUGCAAGACCUGGAGGCGGCACUGCAGGACCUGCUGGCGGAGGAGUGGCAGGGGUGGUGGUGGCCGGGCAGCUGGUCGGCGGGCACGUGGCUGCGCGUGGGUGCGGCGGUGGGGCUGGUCGGCGGCGCGGUAGCGGUGGCGCUGAUGCCGGAUGGGGGCGGCCAGCGCAGCGGCAGCGUGAGCGGCACUGCGUUGGUGCCGGUGGGCGUGUCGAAGCGCUGAUGUGUGGGGCGAAGCAGGUGCGCCAGGACAGAUUUGGGUCAUUUGGCGGAGGCUUGGUGAGAUGUAUGACUUGGUGAAUGUGAGCGUGUCAGGCCGGGAGGAUGUAUGCUUGAGCAUCAUGGGGAUAGUAUCCAAGACUGGAUGGUGGGUAACAUGUCCGAGCAUCGAGUGACACCGUUCGACACUACUGAUCUGGGUCUAUGAAGCGGUUUCCAACUUGGCACUUCAGAGCGUGCCGCGAUAGAUUGCGUGAUGGAAUCGGGCGCGGCCAUAGGAUGGACAUUGAUGGUGGAAGGAGGAAGACUCCACCCGUCAUGAUUCUUACUCGCACUAUCUAGCGUGUGGGGGCGUGUGAUACCGUAAUGGCCUCUAAUGAUACCGUACUAUGAUAGGUGACGGUGGUGGUGUGCAUAUAACUCCAACGCUAUUCGGUUGGCACAGUGAUCUGUCGGUGCCGGUAUGGAGUAUGGAGUGUCGGGCGCAACCCUGCAAACAGCUGACUGGCAGAGGGGCGGCGGCGUGCGGACCCUGGGCAUAAGCUCUUGAAGCCAUCAGGUCGAUGACUGCCUGCGGGCUGGGGGCGUCUGUCUCGGUUGCUUUGUCACCAGCAAAAUUCAACAGCGUGUGUGCCGCGAGAGCGUGACGGCAUCAGGCGCGGCCAAAGGAUGGGAGGCAGGAGGAACACUCUCUCCCCGGCUCCUAGGACCCAGGUGUAAGCCUGCUGGUCCCAGGUUGCUUCUGGGUGUAAGCUUUCUCACUGCGCUAACUGCUUGGUGCCACCAAUUGCCCAGUUACGUAACACAUCCGGCUUGCAGGGGAAAGGCUUGGGGUAGGGGGCCUGGGACAGCCGGGGCACCGCUGCUCCAGGUCUGAGUCGUGUCUGGGGCCAGUCACUUCGGCCGUUCGCCUCCUAAUCGAUGCUGGCGCCCUCAAAACAGCAGCUACUGCGCGCUCCUAUAUACUUGUGAAUACAAAUAAACGGUAUACAUACAUAGCCACGGUUAGUAUACUUGUUUCGCGAGGAGUUUGUAAUAAGACGAGUCAGGGAAGGCCGUGUCUCCCUGCUUACAUGAACUAAUGUCCACUAAAACUUCUCAGCAAUCCCAGCCGCAUGCACAGCCAGCGAUGCCGGCAAAUGACAGCCGGGUGAGGAUGCCGCGUGGAUGGAUGUAUGGGUUUACCAUCGUUGCCGCACCAGCCGCACCUCAACUGAAAUGCUCUCUUACUUUCAAUGAUCAGGCUGAUGUAUGGCUGAUGGUGGCACUCGGUGGCCUGGUUCUAUGGAGGCGACGCUGCCUGUCGACUCAGGUGAGCGCCAACUGCCAGUAGUGCCUGUGCCGGCCCCACCUGCUCCCGGUCAAGGCCAAGCGCAUACUUGACUUCAACAAAAUGCGUGCAGCUGCGGGAAAGCGCCGAGAGAAUUGCGCUGAAGGCAACCCAGAGGGCGGCGGCUGGACCCCUGACACUGACCACAGAGGAGGUAUGGGUCAUGUCGCCAGCAGUCGGGCGUGAGUUUUCAUGUUUGUGCUUGCCAGCCAAAACCCGGUACGUACCCAAUCUUGCGAAACCUACCAUAGCGCUGACGGGUUCCACCCGUGAAUAUUGCACCUUGUUAUGCACCCACUAACUCACACCUGCAGAUGUGCCUGGAGUCGUGCGUGAAGAGUCCGGGCGACUGGGAACUGGAACACCUGCAAGUGUUCGGCGCUGACCCGGCAGUGGUGGAGCGCCUGGUGCGUGGGUGUGUCGGGCCCGCACAUCCGGCCGCAAUGCAUGAGUGGCCGUGGCACCUCCUGCAUGCCUUGCAUAGGGUGUUUGUCGCAAUUCGUCAUCUACAUGCUGCACGCCGCUGCAGGGUAACAUAGCGCACACCCAACUUAAGAGCAGUGUACCCUAGCUCCCCGCCGCCGCCACCGCCCGCAGGACAGCGAGGUGGUGCGGGCGCUGCAGCAGCCCGAGCUGCUGGGGCGGCUGGGGCUGCAGCACCUGGCGCUCUGCGACGCGCACAUGCAGCCGCCCUACCUAGUGCUGCUGUGAGUGCCCGCCGCCCGCCGCCUCCGGAGGAGCCUUCCGUACCACCGUGCUACUGCUGGGUUGCUUGCUUGGUUGCACACGUAGUUUGCAGUGAGAAGUGCCGGACCGGGAGGAGCAGCUAGGAGAAGCCAUCUGCAGUUGCCGCGCACCCGCUUGAUUGCGUGCAUAUGGCCCCACACUACUCUCACAAAUGCCUUUGGUACAUUUUGUUGUGUGCAGCCAGGGACCGGCCCGCACCGGCAAGAAGUCCAUGGUGCUGGUGAGUUCCGUGCGACACGAAUGAACAUCCGGAAGUGCAUGUGCGCCAUGGCCCCCGUCAUGCUUGACCCUUACCUAUUACUUUUAGCCUGAUGAUGAUCGCUCUACCGCCCUUCUUUAUGUGCUAUUGCUCCUUCGCACAUCCAUCUUGCGUGCCAAACUGCACGCACCCCAUACAGGAGCUCGCGCGCACAAACGGCAUUACCGUGCUGCACCUGGACAAGCACUCGCUCGAGGCAGCCCACAAGGCGGCGUGCUGCUGGGGCGCGCUCGGCAGCUGGUGGUCCGGCGGCGGCAGCGUGGUGGCGGCCGCCUUCUCGCUCGCCAAGAAGCUGCAGCCGUGCAUCAUCCUGCUGGGUGAGUAGAGAGUGCCGCGUGUUAGGUCAAGUCUCUUAAACGCUUUUGCCUAAGGCUUGUGUUGCAGUAGUGCCAUAUGCGGCGGCUGUGUAGGUUGUGCAAGGUUGGGUCUGGCACAGUGUGUGUCAGGGCAAACCAGGUGUCUAGUGUUGGUUUUACGGACGGGCACGUGCGCGCGCAGGGCUUGAUUGCACACCCUCGCUCCGUUACCUCGUCGGGGAUACUCUGUGGUGUUGGGCAUUGGGCAUGCAUAAACCGCGACGGCAUGCCACCCAUUCUUCAUCCCCCUACCGCCCGUCCCUCCAUUCAAAGCCCCACUUCUGUUGUGCGGGCAUGUGCGCGCAGACAACCCGCUCGGACUGCCGGCAGCCAUGCUGGUACGUACGUGGUUUCAUUUGCGCUGCCCCUUCCGUCUGCUGGUGACGUGCGCAUCGCUUCCGUGUUCUGCUAUGCGCUUCCACUACUCACGCUUGUCAUACUAAGGCGUUCUUCAAUCUCCCGGUGUCUGCCCUACCUCCUGCACAGGCGGUGAUCCGUGCCGAGGUGAAGCGCCUGCGCGCGGCGCCGCACAACUGGUCGCAGGAGCGCGUGUCGGUGGUCAUGACCAGCAGCGCGUCGCUGCCCCCGCAGCUGCCGGCGUACGUGCCGGCCUGCCACCGAAUUCGUGUGAGCAAGCACCCUUUGCGAUUGUGUUUUGGAAAGUCAAGCGAAAACGGUAUAUUGCUCGCCUGGCUCAUCAUCGCUCUUCGGAUUCCCUGUUUCUAAAUGGGCUGCUUGCAUGCCGCCUGAUCCUGAUCACCACAGGUGGCUCUGCCGACGACUCAGCAGCUGGGAGCCAUGCUGCACGGCUUCCUGCGGCUCAUGCAGGCGGCGUACCAGCAGCAGCAGCAGCAGCAGCAGCGGCAGCGGCAGCAGCAGCGGCAGCCGCACCCAAAGGCCGGAGGCGCGCUGCUCGGUGGCGGCCCCACCCCGCAGCCGCAGCUGAUGGCAGCGCUGGCGAACUACGAGGACGCCGCGGCCCGCGGCGGCGUGGCGGGCGGCCCGCUGGUUCCUGCCGGCGGUGACGGCGGCUUCGGCGCUGAGGUGCACCAGUACCUGCAGUCAUUGCAGGGCCGCACCGCGCCGCACGUGAGGUGGCUGGCGCUGCGGGCGCGGCUGCGGGCGGCGGGUGCCGACGGCGCGGAGUGAGUGUGCAGCACGUGCGGGGUUGGAACUUGGAACUGGAUGCUGUGCCCUGCUGCUGAGCCUAGCUCAAAUAGAUUAAGCCGCUGCCUAAUGAUCUUGAGUGUCCAUGAUGUAACUAUCUAAUCUCCUCGUCCCCUGUCGUGCGUGUCUCCUGCAGGGCGCAGUUCCAGCCAUUGACGCUGGCUCACCUGCGGGCGGCGCUGCAGGACCUGCUGGCGGAGGAGCACUUGCAGCAGCGGUCGUGAUUAUUGUUGGUGCCGGAGGGCUGUUC
RNAcentral lists this long non-coding RNA (4462 nucleotides) under Chlamydomonas reinhardtii. RNAcentral's name for it is "long non-coding RNA (CREI_LNC000484)". The record is from RNAcentral. Lineage: Eukaryota; Viridiplantae; Chlorophyta; Chlorophyceae; Chlamydomonadales; Chlamydomonadaceae.